This 460-nucleotide ribosomal RNA is filed under the name uncultured bacterium. RNAcentral's name for it is "partial 16S ribosomal RNA". It matches the Rfam family "Bacterial small subunit ribosomal RNA", at positions 338 to 795 of the family's 1533-position model. The record is from RNAcentral.
CCUACGGGAGGCAGCAGUGAGGAAUAUUGGUCAAUGGACGAGAGUCUGAACCAGCCAAGUAGCGUGAAGGAUGACUGCCCUAUGGGUUGUAAACUUCUUUUAUAUGGGAAUAAAAUGUUCCACGUGUGGGAUUUUGUAUGUACCAUAUGAAUAAGGAUCGGCUAACUCCGUGCCAGCAGCCGCGGUAAUACGGAGGAUCCGAGCGUUAUCCGGAUUUAUUGGGUUUAAAGGGAGCGUAGGUGGAUUGUUAAGUCAGUUGUGAAAGUUUGCGGCUCAACCGUAAAAUUGCAGUUGAAACUGGCAGUCGUGAGUACAGUAGAGGUGGGCGGAAUUCGUGGUGUAGCGGUGAAAUGCUUAGAUAUCACGAAGAACUCCGAUUGCGAAGGCAGCUCACUGGACUGUAACUGACACUGAGGCUCGAAAGUGUGGGUAUCAAACAGGAUUAGAUACCCCAGUAGUC